UUUAAGAUAUAUGUGGUACAGGAUUAGAUACCCCAUUAACUUAUUUUGUAAUAUUAUCUUAGUUUAAUAACUAAAAUGGUUUGGCAGUGAGUGAUUCUUUUUAGGGGAAGGUGUGGUGUAAAGGAUGUUCCGCCUAUUAAUUUACUUUUAUUAUGUUGGUGUAUAUCUGGUUUAAUAUUAUUGUUGAAUGAUAUAAGUUUGUGUAGUUUACUAAUUAAGCCAAGUCUAUGUGCUGCUUAUAAAAGUAUUCAUGCGUUACUUUAAUAAAGUUUUAGUUGUAAGUACUAUUAUAUUCAGGACUUAAAAGUAAUGUUAAAUUAGUUUGUUAACGUGAAGUAAGUUUAGCUCAGGUACACACCGCCCGUCACCCUCGGUUA
RNAcentral lists this ribosomal RNA (377 nucleotides) under Taenia serialis. Its description in RNAcentral is "partial 12S ribosomal RNA". The record is from RNAcentral. Lineage: Eukaryota; Metazoa; Platyhelminthes; Cestoda; Cyclophyllidea; Taeniidae.